Ficedula albicollis (Collared flycatcher) is the source of this 1245-nucleotide long non-coding RNA. RefSeq lists it as uncharacterized. Lineage: Eukaryota; Metazoa; Chordata; Aves; Passeriformes; Muscicapidae. The transcript is spliced from 4 exons. The record is from RefSeq and is a predicted model, not a curated record.
GGAAAUUGCUGUUGGCCUUUUCUCUUUAAAUUCAUAAGGGAGGAGAAGGAAGUUUUUGCCUUCAUCUACAGAAGUAACUCGGUGGCCUUUAGCUGGAUGGUUACCAAAUGACACCGGUGACAACAAUAUUCUGCCCCACACAUAAAAUACAAGGGAUGUGACAGUGUCAAGAGAUAUCAUAAAGCACAAGAGGAAAGCUUCCAGAGGGAAAUACGUGAGUGCAAGACUGUGGUGAGCUCCAGCUGAUCCCUGCUAAGGAUGUGUCAGGCACUUGGUAUCACAGACACUUCUGAAAAGAGCUGUCAGAUCACAGCUGCCUGUUUCACACCUCUCUGAAUGAGCAAGGCCAAGGGCAGUGGAGCCAAGCACUCAUCCCUGGCUGUCACCCGGACAGCCUGUGUGCACUUGGGCAAGUUGUCAAAUCCUCCACACGACAGAGUUUUGCCAAGACAGCCUGGACUGACACCAUCAUUAGUCCUUUAUUAAAAACUUUUCAAUUCCUUACUCAGUAGACUUUCCUCCGGCAACUCAGACUCCUUUCCUCCCCGCAAAUUUCUUUCUUCCUUCUGCAUGACUAGCUAACCCCCAGCUGUCCCUUUCCCAGCCACCUGACCCUGUCUGUUCCUCACACAGCAUCUUCUUACCUUGUCUGUCCCUUACCUCCUUGCAACACAGGCAGCAGAUUCCAUCCUAAACUGCAGCAGACUCCGGGUAUGCAGCUGCAACUUACUCUCAGCCAGCCAACACACUCUUUUAUAACCCCCAUCCUCAUUGGGCAGGCAAGGCUGUCUCCACUUCUCAGCAAUCAGUACAGCUGUAAUUCAUCGAGGAAAAUUGCCUUCUGCACUAUCCUUACAACCCACCUCCCACACCCCACCAUGCCACGUUUAACAGAGCUCAUUUCUAAGCUCUGCAGGGUGUCUCCUCCUCUGCAACCACGGUAGAAUCACCAGUCUGGAUGCGUGUUCUGUAACUUUAUGCAUGUAACUGAAGAGCCUGGUAAGCAUCUCAAUCUCACCAUUACCUUUCUUUGUGGUCACUGGACGGUCAGAGACAUGCACUUCCAAGUGAGAUAUGAGGUGGGAUGCAGUGGUCUGGCAGCAGUCUGCGGCGCAACUCCCCUUCUCCAAGUCCACAGCACCUGGUGAAAAGGUGCUGGAGCUGGGGCAUGGAUGUUUCAACAUGUCUCCAAAGUGACUUCUGAGUUGGAGUGUCUUCAAUGAAAUGCCUGAGACAUGAUGGACA